This 253-nucleotide ribosomal RNA is filed under the name uncultured bacterium. RNAcentral describes it as "partial 16S ribosomal RNA". It matches the Rfam family "Bacterial small subunit ribosomal RNA", at positions 524 to 776 of the family's 1533-position model. The record is from RNAcentral.
UACAGGGGGUGCAAACGUUGCUCGGAAUUAUUGGGCGUAAAGCGCGCGUAGGCGGCUACUUAAGUCGGAUGUGAAAGCCCUUGGCUCAACUGAGGAAGUGCACCCGAAACUGAGUGGCUAGAGUACGAAAGAGGGUCGCGGAAUUCCCGGUGUAGAGGUGAAAUUCGUAGAUAUCGGGAGGAACACCAGUGGCGAAGGCGACUACCUGGCCUGUUCUUGACGCUGAGGCGCGAAAGCUAGGGGAGCAAACGGG